Molecule: non-coding RNA, 96 nt
Filed under: uncultured Ruminococcus sp.
Lineage: Bacteria; Bacillati; Bacillota; Clostridia; Eubacteriales; Oscillospiraceae
Description: THF riboswitch
Rfam family: THF (Tetrahydrofolate) riboswitch aptamer
About the family: THF riboswitch presents a pseudoknot that joins P1-P2 and the loop of P3 and two THF binding.
Source: RNAcentral
CAGAGUAAAGGAAUACGCGUAAAGUGCAUGCUGUACGGGGAGUUGACAGCAUGACGAAGGGUUCGAUCCCGCGGUGUGUUCCUUGCAUCCCGCUGU